RNAcentral lists this ribosomal RNA (301 nucleotides) under uncultured bacterium. Its description in RNAcentral is "partial 16S ribosomal RNA". It matches the Rfam family "Bacterial small subunit ribosomal RNA", at positions 509 to 807 of the family's 1533-position model. The record is from RNAcentral.
CAGCAGCCGCGGGAAUACGAAGGGGGCUAGCGUUGCUCGGAAUCACUGGGCGUAAAGGGUGCGUAGGCGGGUCUUUAAGUCAGGGGUGAAAUCCUGGAGCUCAACUCCAGAACUGCCUUUGAUACUGGGUAUCUUGAGUAUGGAAGAGGUGAGUGGAAUUCCGAGUGUAGAGGUGAAAUUCGUAGAUAUUCGGAGGAACACCAGUGGCGAAGGCGGCUCACUGGUCCAUUACUGACGCUGAAGUGCGAAAGCGUGAGGAGCAAACAGGAUUAGAGACCCCCGUAGUCCCUGUCUCUUAUAC